Molecule: ribosomal RNA, 433 nt
Filed under: uncultured bacterium
Lineage: Bacteria
Description: partial 16S ribosomal RNA
Rfam family: Bacterial small subunit ribosomal RNA
Source: RNAcentral
AACGAACGCUGGCGGCAUGCCUAACACAUGCAAGUCGAACGAGACCUUCGGGUCUUGUGGCGCACGGGUGCGUAACGCGUGGGAACCUGCCCUUAGGUUCGGAAUAACUCCCCGAAAGGGGUGCUAAUACCGGAUAAUGUCUUCGGACCAAAGAUUUAUCGCCUUUGGAUGGGCCCGCGUUGGAUUAGCUAGUUGGUAGGGUAAAAGCCUACCAAGGCGACGAUCCAUAGCUGGUCUGAGAGGAUGAUCAGCCACACUGGGACUGAGACACGGCCCAGACUCCUACGGGAGGCAGCAGUGGGGAAUAUUGGACAAUGGGCGAAAGCCUGAUCCAGCAAUGCCGCGUGAGUGAUGAAGGCCUUAGGGUUGUAAAGCUCUUUUAACCGGGAUGAUAAUGACAGUACCGGGAGAAUAAGCUCCGGCUAACUCCGUG